This 30-nucleotide non-coding RNA is filed under the name Homo sapiens (human). Lineage: Eukaryota; Metazoa; Chordata; Mammalia; Primates; Hominidae. The record is from RNAcentral.
CAGUCAAAUUCCUCCCAGAGGUCUGUCUAA